UGCCAGCCGCCGCGGUAAUACGAAGGGUGCUAGCGUUGUUCGGAAUUACUGGGCGUAAAGGGCGCGUAGGCGGACCUAUCAGUCAGUGGUGAAAUCCCGGGGCUCAACCUCGGAACUGCCUUUGAUACUGUAGGUCUUGAGGACGGGAGAGGGUCGUGGAAUUCCCAGUGUAGAGGUGAAAUUCGUAGAUAUUGGGAAGAACACCGGUGGCGAAGGCGGCGACCUGGACCGUAUCUGACGCUGAGGCGCGAAAGCGUGGGGAGCAAACAGGAUUAGAUA
RNAcentral lists this ribosomal RNA (279 nucleotides) under uncultured bacterium. RNAcentral's name for it is "partial 16S ribosomal RNA". It matches the Rfam family "Bacterial small subunit ribosomal RNA", at positions 506 to 784 of the family's 1533-position model. The record is from RNAcentral.